UUAAUCACCAACUAACUUUAUUUGCUACAGGUUAGCUACAAAUUGGUUACGGUUUUGGCCGUAGCCAAUUGCAGAUUUUCUUGCAUUAACACUUUGAUAAAUAUUAACUUUGUUAUAAAAAAAAUUAAAAAUAAAUCAUCCCAUAGUACUUUUAAUUUAAAAAUAUUUAUUUCACAUCAUACAACUUAUUUUUUCUUCAUCUAUUAUUGUUUUCUUUAUUUUAGAUUUGCUUCUUUCUAUUACGAAAAGCUAAAAGUUAAAUAAAAUAUAUAAUGUAGUUUAAUAAAAAUCUUAAACUUGGACGUUCAUCAAAAUUUUAUACGAAAUAUUUAAUAUUAAUUCUAAUUUUAUAUUUGGCUUUUUAUAAGUCCCAACAUUUAAUAUUAUUUAUUUGAAGUUGACAAAGACUGAAACUUUUCUAUAAAGCGUGCAAAAUAGUUAUAUUUACUAUACAUAUGUAAAGGAGGAAAAUAUGGCUCAAAUUAUUAUGUUUGUUUAUGUUCUUCAGAUCUUUUCUCUAUUUUUUGUUGUAACCAAUGGUGGUCGGCGUGGUCCUCCUCGCAUUCCUUGCGUUGAACACAUUGAUUGUCCAGAGAAGACUUUACCUUUAGUUAUGAGAUGUAUUGACUAUUAUUGUCAAUAUAGAUUGAUAGCCGAGGAUUAAGUUUAAAAGUAAUUAUAUCACUAAUAAACAUAUAAAUUUAUUCUUACGUCAUAAUGUUUGUACUUUAUAUUUUAAUUUAAAUUAUACUCCCUUUGUCCCAAAAUAAAUGUCACAUUUGAAAAAAUAAUUUGUCCCAAAAUAGUUGUCACUUUACAUUACCAAUGCAAUUUUAUAUUUAAUCUUCCAAUUGUACCCUCUAAUAAAUAUUCUUAAUUUAUUGUUUUUUCACUUAA
Vicia villosa (hairy vetch) is the source of this 897-nucleotide long non-coding RNA. RefSeq lists it as uncharacterized. The record is from RefSeq and is a predicted model, not a curated record. NCBI's taxonomy places the organism in Eukaryota, Viridiplantae, Streptophyta, Magnoliopsida, Fabales, Fabaceae. The transcript is spliced from 2 exons.